GAUGAAGAACGUAGCGAAAUGCGAUAAUUAAUGUGAAUUGCAGAAUUCCGUGAAUCAUCGAGUCUUUGAACGCACAUUGCGCCUCAUGGCAUUCCGUGAGGCAUGCCCAUCUCAGCGUUAGAAAAUAUUCUCAAAUUUUAGUUUUGUGCUAAAAUUUGGAUCAUGUCAAGGAAGCUAUUACUAUUAUUGUGAUCGCUCUUUGGAAAUUGAUAGGUCUUUGAGUUGCUACUCAUAGAACGUGAUGAAUCUUUCUUCGUUCUAUUGUAAUUCACUCUGGUAGUCCUAAAACUUGUAUACCUGUGGCAUAUCUUGUAAUUUGACCUGAGAUUGGGUAGGGAUACCCGCUGAACUUAAGCAUAUCAAUAAGCAGAGGA
RNAcentral lists this unclassified non-coding RNA (374 nucleotides) under soil metagenome. Its description in RNAcentral is "partial contains internal transcribed spacer 2 and large subunit ribosomal RNA". The stretch from base 1 to 120 matches the Rfam family "5.8S ribosomal RNA", at positions 35 to 154 of the family's 154-position model. The record is from RNAcentral.